UAGGGAAUCUUCGGCAAUGGGGGGAACCCUGACCGAGCAACGCCGCGUGAGUGAAGAAGGUUUUCGGAUCGUAAAGCUCUGUUGUUAAGGAAGAACGAGUGUGAGAAUGGAAAGUUCAUGCUGUGACGGUACUUAACCAGAAAGGGACGGCUAACUACGUGCCAGCAGCCGCGGUAAUACGUAGGUCCCGAGCGUUGUCCGGAUUUAUUGGGCGUAAAGCGAGCGCAGGCGGUUAGAAAGUCUGAAGUGAAAGGCAGUGGCUCAACCAUUGUAGGCUUUGGAAACUGUUUAACUUGAGUGCAGAAGGGGAGAGUGGAAUUCCAUGUGUAGCGGUGAAAUGCGUAGAUAUAUGGAGGAACACCGGUGGCGAAAGCGGCUCUCUGGUCUGUAACUGACGCUGAGGCUCGAAAGCGUGGGGAGCGAACAGG
This 428-nucleotide ribosomal RNA is filed under the name Bacteroidota bacterium. Its description in RNAcentral is "Bacteroidetes bacterium partial 16S ribosomal RNA". It matches the Rfam family "Bacterial small subunit ribosomal RNA", at positions 355 to 776 of the family's 1533-position model. The record is from RNAcentral. Lineage: Bacteria; Pseudomonadati; Bacteroidota.